Molecule: long non-coding RNA, 1633 nt
Filed under: Cinara cedri
Lineage: Eukaryota; Metazoa; Arthropoda; Insecta; Hemiptera; Aphididae
Source: RNAcentral
AGACGGUCCACAGACGACUCAACAAGCACCGUCCGCACACUUCGCGUUUACAAAAAAAAAAAGUAAUUCGAUAACUCGCAACCCGAAAACCGAUCGACAUCAUCAGAAUGACAUCGCCGAUCCUGAGAGUUUUGUUCGUUUGCGCAGUAGUCGCCAUGUUGGUGUGCACGGCCUUAUCGCUGCCGACGACCGCGCAACAACAGCAAGAAGACGGAUCUACGACCGGAAGUUUCGGCUCGGUCCUGUGGUCCGUACUGGACGGCUGUUUCGACGGGGAUUCGACCGAACCGGCCGCGGUGUGUCUCAAGUCGAAAGCGCUUACCGCGCUGGACCGGGCGAUCGCCAAGCCCACCGUGGCCGUCGCGAACGGAGUAUCGCUGAGUUCCCGGGCGGGCAGGUCUCUGCAGAUCGACGCGUCGGCCGAGGAAGCCGACCGUGCCGCCCUGCUGGCCGCCAAGGACCCGGACCACAAGAACGCUCUGUUGGACGAUAUGUUGGCCAGCCGGCUGGACACGCUGGUGUCCACGAAGACGAUCGUUCUGGACGGAUCGGCCGUACAAGAAGGUGAGAGUUUCGUACCAGUCAAACGCACAACGUAAUUAAUAUAGAUGGGCGGACGACCUUUUUGAGCAUUGUUCACCAGUGGCGAGUUAAGAUAUUUUAUUUGGUGGUUUCAAGUUGUUUAAAGUAAUAUACCCAUUCCACUUAAACUCACCCCGCAAGUACAACCAAUAAAAACGUUUUUUUUUUUUUUUUUUUUUUAAUGAUUUUAUGUAUCUCUAAUUUUGGUUAUAUUUGAAAAAAAACUAUACCGAAAAGUAUAAUAUUGUAAUGCACGCGAUCUAAGAUUAUGAACAACUAUAACUUAAUUAUAAUCGGGUUUUGUUUCUGAUAAUUAUAGAAUAAAGGCCUAUGCCUUUAACCUAUUGGCCAUAUACAAUUGAAUCAUUCGAUUUUCGCGCGAACUUAAUUAACGGGAUUUUUUCAAUAUUUGAACAAUUCGAUUUGCACCCACCCGAAAACUGUAUUCCAGCCGCCUUUGUUUUUCAUGAUUUCAUUUUUCGUUUAGAUUAAGGAAUCUAAAGUAUUGCGUGUGCCGCCGACUAUCUAAUAAUAAUAUUUAUUUUGUCUGUUUUUCCCACGUCAGGCCGUGGUAAGAAGAAACAAAUGAAGGCCAUGCAACAAGCGAUAAUGAUGGCCGGCAUGAUGGCCAUUGCCGUUUUGGGACCGAUGGCGCUCAAGUUCAUCGCCUUGUUGGCCGGCAAGGCCCUGUUGUUCAGUAAAAUCGCCUUGCUCCUGGCCGGUAUUAUGUCACUCAAGAAGAUUUUCCAGCCGCAACAAAGUAGUCCCUCAGCAGUGGAAAAAACGCACCAUUAUUACGACUACAACGUACAGGACGUCGACGCACACAACUGGGCGUACUCGGGCCAAAAACAAUAGAUUGACACCUCCACAAAAACACGACCAUCUAAUUUAUUUGUUAUGUAUUUAUUCGUCGGAUUCGUGCAUGUAAACAAUUUAAAAAUGUAUUUUAUACAAAUAGUUUACUAACUAAAUGUUGAACUCUUGCAGUAUUUUCGUUUUGAAAUCGUUAUGUAUACUGCAAUAAUAUUUCAAUAAUUGAUUACACUCC